GGAGAGCUGAAGGUUGGCAGAAGCCGGCGCUGGGUAGAGUUAAAUGUCAUUUUGAUGCUUCAAUUUUUGCAGGAGAAAAUUUAACAGGUUUCGCAGCUGUAGUUCGCAAUGAUACAGGCCAUUUUGUCCUUGAAAUGUCUGGUUUUCGAAGUGGCAACUUCUCUCCUUCUGUGGCAGAGGCCUUAGCUCUUCGCGAAACACUUCUUUGGUUGCACAAUCAAGGAUUGGAUCAUGUUGACGUCGAGAUGGACUGCUUAUCUCUAUUUACUGGUCUAUCGUCGGUUGGAGAGAAUUUUUUCUGAG
This 303-nucleotide unclassified non-coding RNA is filed under the name Hevea brasiliensis (rubber tree). Lineage: Eukaryota; Viridiplantae; Streptophyta; Magnoliopsida; Malpighiales; Euphorbiaceae. The record is from RNAcentral.